Molecule: ribosomal RNA, 330 nt
Filed under: uncultured Devosia sp.
Lineage: Bacteria; Pseudomonadati; Pseudomonadota; Alphaproteobacteria; Hyphomicrobiales; Devosiaceae
Description: bacterial SSU rRNA
Rfam family: Bacterial small subunit ribosomal RNA
Source: RNAcentral
UACCGGAUACGAGACAAGACGGCAUCGUCAUUGUCUGGAAAGAUUUUUGGUCUGGGAUGGGCUCGCGGCCUAUCAGCUUGUUGGUGAGGUAAUGGCUCACCAAGGCGUCGACGGGUAGCCGGCCUGAGAGGGUGACCGGCCACACUGGGACUGAGACACGGCCCAGACUCCUACGGGAGGCAGCAGUGGGGAAUAUUGCACAAUGGGCGAAAGCCUGAUGCAGCAACGCCGCGUGAGGGAUGACGGCCUUCGGGUUGUAAACCUCUUUUAGCAGGGAAGAAGCGAGAGUGACGGUACCUGCAGAAAAAGCGCCGGCUAACUACGUGCCAG